Phoenix dactylifera (date palm) is the source of this 3072-nucleotide non-coding RNA. NCBI's taxonomy places the organism in Eukaryota, Viridiplantae, Streptophyta, Magnoliopsida, Arecales, Arecaceae. The record is from RefSeq and is a predicted model, not a curated record.
AACCCUAGUUUCCUCCCCCGCUCCUCUCCCCUCUUCCUCCUCAUCUCCCUCUCCGCGACCCCAAUCCCAGCUUCUUCCCCCGGUCCCCAAGAGCCUUCUCGACCAACAGCGGGGUCGAGGGCCGCGGCAAUGGCGAUGGCACCUGGAAGUUCUCGCCGGAGAACGACGAGGUGGGCUCCGUAUUCGGCGAGGAAGAAGGUAGCCUCGCCCGGAUCGCGGAGGGCGGCGAGGCUGCCUUUGGAUAGGAGGCGGCCGCUGGAGCCGCCUUUCUGUGAAUCACUGUCCUAAACUUACGAAACUCACAACUGCUGAUUGAUUUCCCAUGGUUCUCUUGACCCUUAUUGGAGGUAGCCUCCUCUCUCUGCACGAUCGUUAUGCUGCUGUCUUCAGAUGUCCCAUCUAAAGUCUCACCCCAAGUGGAAUCAUAUCAAAAUAACGUUUCCUAACGAAAUAUUAGUUGUUCUCUGAUAACCGUUCUGUUCUUUAGUUCCUUUAAAUACUGAUUUGCUACAUUAAGAAACAUAGGAUCCUGUAUGUGCCACAAUUGACAGAAUGAUGUGGCUGAAUAACUGUAAUUUUUUUUUAAAAAAAAGACCUUUGGGUUUCAUGGCAAUGGCAGGAUACUGUUUAGAUAGCCUGAAAUUUCACGCACUAUUUUUUUUAAAAAAAUGUUUAUUAAUAAUAAAAUAUGGCCAUCAAUCUGUCGACUCGCAAACUAGGGGAAAUUAUGAUAAAUUACUGCGAUCAAAUGUUAUCUUGGAGAUGAGAAUAAUUUAACAAAUCUAACCUAAAUAAGUGGUGCACGAAUCGAACAGCGAAACAUCUGAUGACCCAACGUAGCCGUUUAAAAGCGCUCAUCUUGUAGGUACGAACGGUUCCGAAUGGUCCGCAAGUCUGAAAUUAAUAAACCGCUUGAGAUUGUUGUUCGUGGGCGUUGCUUCUCCCUUGUCAUUGGUGCACCGCGGCGACGGCGAGAGACCACCAACCGUCGUCGCCGUCGUUGGACCCAAGAGAGAGAAGCGAGGGAGGACAAUAUAAUAAUCUAACGAGUUUUCUUUUUCUAUCUCCAUUCCUCUCCUCUCUUUUCAAUCUAAGUUCGGAUCAAAAAAACCCAUCUCCAGGUUGCUUCCAUGUCCUUCUCCCUCUUCAAGAAUUCUAUUUUUGAUUGAUGUUUGAAUCUCUAGGGUUUUCGUUCUCUAGGGGUCUUAUACUUUUAUUCACUACGAGUGACUACUUGCACCAUUGUUGUUAGUUCUGUACGGUUUCUCUUGCAUCGCACCUUCUCUACGUUCAGCUCUUCUCAUGUUUUCUUGAAUGUCGUGACCCAUUUUAGGGUUUGGUCGUACGAUCUCCUGCUGACUGAUUAGGUUUAAUUUUAAUCGAAAUCUCAAUCACAUGUUUGCUUUCUAGUUUUCCCCUUGGAUUCAAGCUAAUUUGAAUUCACAGCUGAAAUAUCCACGCAUUGUUCGAUCUAAUUCCGAUUGGCAGAGCAAAGAUUUAGUGCUGGAAAGAUGGUCGGCGGUCCAUGGCUUCAGGCCUCCUCUUGUAAGUCUUUGAUUUCACCUUUUCAUAAUUCUCAAAAUUUUGUCCCCCAUCUUCCCACCAAACCUUCAAAGAAACUUUGUCAAGUAACGGCAAGUUCUGGCCCUUCUGGGGGCGCGGGUCGGAAUCCAUCAUCUUCUCCAAGAGGAAGGAACCCGCUGGCACUUGUGCUUGAAGUUCCUGGGACCAUCUGGAAGCAAACUUUGCGACCACUUAGUGAUUUUGCGUUUGGUCGGAAAAGCAUCUGGGAGGGCGGCAUCGGGCUGUUUACGGUGUCCGGGGCAGCUCUUCUUGCCCUCACACUUGUGUGGCUAAGGGGCUUCCACGUGAGGUCAAGGUUCAGGAAAUAUCAUGCCGUGUUUGAAUUCUCGCAAGCUUGCGGGAUUUGCGUGGGAACCCCUGUCAGGAUACGAGGGGUGACCGUCGGAAGUGUGGUUGGUGUCAAUUCAUCUUUGAAAAGUAUUGAUGCAACUGUUGAGUUUGAGGAUGACAAAAUUAUUGUACCUCGUAAUUCUUUGGUUGAGGUGAAUCAGUCUGGCCUUCUUAUGGAGACUCUGAUUGAUAUUACACCACGAGAUCCACUUCCCACACCAUCUGCUGGUCCCCUUGAUCCAGAUUGUGCGAAAGAAGAUCUUAUUGUUUGUGAUAGAGAGAGAAUAAGAGGAGAACAGGGGGUAAGCUUGGAUGAAUUGGUUGGAAUAUUUACCCAUCUUGGACGAGAAAUGGAAGAAAUUGGUGUUUCUAAAAGCUACAGAUUGGCUGAAAAAGUUGCAUCUGUUGUGGAAGAAGCACAACCCCUCCUUGCAAAGAUUGAAGCCUUGGCUGAAAAUAUACAACCUUUGCUUAUCGAGGUUCGUGAUAAUGCUCUGCUGAAGGAUGUGGAGAGUUUAACCAAAACGCUGGCUGAUGCAACAGAGGAUUUGAGGUGAAUUUAGAUGGAAAUCAAGGAUUAGAGAAAUUCAAAUAUGAGUAGAUAAAAACUCUUAUUCAUGAAAGGUGGAGAUGUGCUGCACUUGGUCGAACAUGGUGGUUGCGCAUGUCACUAGCUACUAACCUUAAUGAUCUUGCAGAAAGAUGCAGUCUGCUCUUUUAACUCCUGAGAAUGGUGAACUAAUCAGGCAGUCUAUUUUUGCUUUUAUAUUCACACUGAAAAAUAUUGAGAGUAUAAGCUCUGACAUCUCAGGCUUCACGGGUGAUGAAGCUGCAAGGCUGAAUCUGAAGUUGUUAAUAAAGUCUCUUAGCAGACUCUUGUGAAGUUUGCUGAAGCCAACUGUGUUUGGUUCCAGCUGGACUACUUCUUUAAGCUUUUAACAGCAGAAAGUUACAUAUGGGAGGGGAAGCAGGAAGAAGCACCAGGCACAUGUACAGGUCUCGGAUCUGUAGUAUGAAAGAGAGAACUAAGACACAUAAUCUGUUUCUCUAAAGAAUAAAAAAAGAAAUUUUGAUUAGUUUUUUAUUUCAUUAUUGGAAUUGUCAAUCUUUGUGGGAAUGACUUUGAUUAGUCAUGUAUAAUUUGCCCUUCUUUUCAUA